This 342-nucleotide ribosomal RNA is filed under the name uncultured bacterium. RNAcentral describes it as "bacterial SSU rRNA". It matches the Rfam family "Bacterial small subunit ribosomal RNA", at positions 173 to 507 of the family's 1533-position model. The record is from RNAcentral.
AUACACUCUAUGGAGAAAAAGACAGGGAGUCUUCGGACCUUGUCGCUAUUGGAUGAGCCUAUGUCGGAUUAGUUAGUUGGUGGGGUAAAGGCCUACCAAGGCGACGAUCCGUAGCUGGUCUUAGAGGAUGAUCAGCCACAUCGGGACUGAGACACGGCCCGAACUCCUACGGGAGGCAGCAGUGGGGAAUAUUGCACAAUGGGCGCAAGCCUGAUGCAGCUAUGCCGCGUGUGUGAAGAAGGCCUUAGGGUUGUAAAGCACUUUCAGUAGUGAGGAAAAGUGUUGCGUUAAUAGCGCAAUGCUGUGACGUUAGCUACAGAAGAAGGACCGGCAAACUCCGUG